UCAGACGAUGCGUCAUGCAUAUCAAUAAGCGGAGGAAAAGAAACUAACAAGGAUUCCCUUAGUAACGGCGAGUGAAGCGGGAAGAGCUCAAAUUUGAAAUCUUCAAGGUUUUACCUUGACGAAUUGUAGUUUAAAGAAGUGUUUUCUGCUGAAGUUUUGGUAAAAGUUCUUUGGAAUAGGACAUCAUAGAGGGUGAGAAUCCCGUAUUUGACCAUUAUUUUCAGCUUUGUGAUACACUUUCAAAGAGUCGGAUUGUUUGGGAAUGCAGUCCAAAAUGGGUGGUAAAUUUCAUCUAAAGCUAAAUAUUGGCGAGAGACCGAUAGCGAACAAGUACCGUGAGGGAAAGAUGAAAAGAACUUUGAAAAGAGAGUUAAACAGUACGUGAAAUUGUCAAAAGGGAAGCGUUUGACACCAGUGUUGUUUUCUCGAAAAUCAAUUAAAAAUGGCUCGAUUUUGUAUUGCUGAGACCUUAAAAGUUCACUGUACAUUUUUCGUGUCUUUUUUAAUGCACUUUUCGUUUAACAAGUCAACAUCAGUUUCUUUUGUUGUAAAAGGGUCAUUGGAAGGUGGCUUUCUUUUCGGAGAAAGUGUUUAUAGCCUUUGGCCUCUGCAAUCGAAGAGACUGAGGUCUGCAGCGUAGACUCUUCGGGGUUAGAUACAUUUGUGCUAAGUUAUAGCUUUUUAUAGACAACUUGUUGACUAUAAUUAGUCUUGUAGCUUACUCGCUUAUGCUAUUUUACCUACGCUUAGGAUGUUGACGAUCAGCUGAGCGCG
RNAcentral lists this ribosomal RNA (774 nucleotides) under uncultured Neocallimastigales. Its description in RNAcentral is "partial large subunit ribosomal RNA". It matches the Rfam family "Eukaryotic large subunit ribosomal RNA", at positions 18 to 625 of the family's 3401-position model. The record is from RNAcentral. Lineage: Eukaryota; Fungi; Neocallimastigomycota; Neocallimastigomycetes; Neocallimastigales.